GGAGGUCCGGGGCGGAGAGCAAGCCGAGCGGCCGCCGGUGCCCACUCCCGCAGGCCCGCCCCUCGGGCUGUGACCUCCCGAGCCUGGGCAGCCCCUCGGGGCAGUCCCCGCGCCGGAAGCCCCGGAGCCCGGGAUGAGGCCGGAAUUUCAGAGCGGAGAACAACCGCAGAGACCACCCCACCGCUUCCUUGCUGCGGAGGGGCACACGGACCCGAGCGGAGAGGGGACUUGCCAAAAGGCACGUAAGCAUCUGGAGCUGAGCCAGAGCUGGAGCUCAGGGCCCCAGAGUUGGGUCCAGGGCUCUCCUGGACAACUUCAUAGAGCUCCCACAAAUUCGAGGACCCCUAAAGAAGAUUGUUUGCAUACUUACUGCUCCAGACAUUGCCACAAUAGUCAUAGAUCCUCUGUGAGUUCACAAAGCCUUGCUUGGACCGGUUCCUGCUCAUGGCGUCAUAAAUGGUGGCAGGACCUUGAAGGGCUAAGGAGGCUCAAGGAGGUAGACCGAUAUGAACUAGAAUCUUCAGUUAGGAACACGGCUUGCACAUCCUGGGGGAAGAUUAGCUCUGGGCUCUCCUUACUGGAAUGCUGAACACACUUAACUUCCCCUGUCUUCUCUCUCACCUCUUCUUUGUCCAGCCACGGAUUUUCUGAAAUUGCCUUCUUUGUUCAGGCCACGGGAAGAACAUCAAGAAAGAAGAGGCCCUUGGACUGGGCAUUAGCGGAGCUAAAUUUGAGUCCUGGCUCUGCUGUGUGGCUCUGGGCAAGUCCCUUCCCUUCUCUGAUACUCAGCUUCCCCUUCUAGACUGUGAAGGAAUCAGACAAGAUGAUCACUAAGGGACCUUCCAUUUUGACACCGGAAAGUGCCUUCUCGGUACCAGUGUCAGAGACCAAGAGGACAACUGAUCUUAGAAUCUGGAGAAAAGGGAGCUCUGUUCCACUUUUUGUGGUCACACGGCAUUCUACAUAGUGGAUGUGAAAGGAAAAAUUAAACCUCAAACCAAGUCGCUCCGAGGAGAGGAGGUACAUGUUGAUUCUGUCGGCAUCUGGAAAGUGGGAUUCAGGAAUGCAUUUUGCAAAAUUGUGCUUUCCAAGGAAAGGAAAGAAAAACAGAUAUAGGGCAGUAUGUUGCAAGGUUCUUGUCAAAGGAAGAAGAUCCAAGGACGAAUGUUGCAAGACUGUGCUGCUAAAGGAAGUGGCUUCUUAGCUCAUUUGAUCUGGAACAAAGCUUACAGAUUAUCUUGGCCACUCCCCUGGCUGGACAGAAGGGGAAACUAAGGCUCGGGGAGGGGAAGACCUAUGCCCAAGGCCAGGCUGGGAGUUCCUGACAAGCUGGCGUUACUAGGCUUCUCAACCACCUCCUGCCUGCUGCCUUUCCUCUAGCCCUCGAGCACGGGUCACGACCACUUCUGAUUUUGCUCCAGGCCCCUAGCCCACCCUCCACCCUCACAUUCUCUUGGACAGCAUCCCCGGUCACAAGAUAGGACUCAAUCUGGGAACUUGGAUCUCCACCUGCCAGAUACCAGGGGCCAAAGCCAGUAAGAGGCUGGGGUAAGCUGGAGAGGAAGGAGCUGAGUCUGAUGAUGUGGCCUGACCUCAGAAAGGAAGCCUGGUCACCAGGGGGAAUUUCCCCGGGGUGAGGUCUCAUGUCUAUGCAAAUGAUGCACUCCAAUUAACCUGGACCCCAGAACGGGAGAGGGGCAAAGGGAGACAGCACUGUGCUAGGCUCCUCCUGUGCUGCGUCUCCAGAACAGCCACCUAGGUAGGAAAGCGGGGGGUGUGGCGGGGCGGGGGGGGGGGGGGUGCUGAGGCCCAGUGAGGGGAAGGCAGGUCUGCCCCAGAGAACGCAGUGCACCCCCAAAGGGACACCAGGCCUUGGAGAGCAAUGCCGGGGGUGGAGUUGGAGCCGCUGCUGUUGCCCCUGACCAGAGUGACAGUGACAAGGCUCGAGUGGGAGAAGCCUAGCAAAGUUUCAUUUUGGGUUUCCAUCUCACUCACCUGGGGACUUUUGUCCUGGGGACAGCUAAAAGGCAAGCGGGGAUGUAGGGACCCUGACUCCGCGUGGGCAAAUCCCUGCACUCAGGUUUUCCAAAGCCCGAAGGUGGGGUGUGCAGCAGUGGCACUGUUAACCCUUUCACCCCCAGCUUCUAGAACACUCCUUGAAAAGUGGACCGAGUGGGACGGGGGCUGUUGACAGCAAAUCUCUCCCUCCUGCCUCUUUACAUUUCACUCAGUUGAGCCUCACUACUCCACAAAGACUUCCCUGGGGAUUUCGUUCCUCUCAAAGGCGGAUCCUGCUUACUGCCUGGUUCUCCAAGGAGCUGGUCUUGCCUCCCCCAAAGCAGGGCUGCAAACAGGAGCAGAGCUCAAGUCCAGAGCAUUUGGGUGCAAAGUCUGCUCUCCACAGAGCCUGGUUGUUUGUUCUGCUGUCGAAGAACAUACCCGAGAGCAGGCAGGUCAGUGAUUCCCGGAGUUGUGUGCCACACACUAAGGCUGUGUGCCAAGGAAAGUAUGAGUGCAUACGUGCUCUGGUGAGCGCUUGUGAAAGGCGAGUCUAGGUACUUGUGUGAGGAGUUUCGUGUAGUACGCAUAUGGACAACAGUAUCUGUAUUUCUGA
Leopardus geoffroyi (Geoffroy's cat) is the source of this 2614-nucleotide long non-coding RNA. RefSeq lists it as uncharacterized. The transcript has 3 exons. The record is from RefSeq and is a predicted model, not a curated record. NCBI's taxonomy places the organism in Eukaryota, Metazoa, Chordata, Mammalia, Carnivora, Felidae.